Molecule: long non-coding RNA, 202 nt
Filed under: Carica papaya (papaya)
Lineage: Eukaryota; Viridiplantae; Streptophyta; Magnoliopsida; Brassicales; Caricaceae
Description: long non-coding RNA (CPAP_LNC011377)
Source: RNAcentral
GUGGCCCGUCCCCGGUCGACGUGGUUUUGCCACGUGGCAGGUCCUGGUUGGCCAGGUCUGCUGACAUGGCUGCUGACGUGGAACACGCGUUUUUUUUUUUUUUUUCAUUUUCCCCGGGUGCUACAUACCAUAAGUAUUUAUCUUAUGAAACUGAACUAUAAUCAUCGUUUGAUAAGAUAUUGAAUAAUGAAUCAAUUCAAAA